This 200-nucleotide long non-coding RNA is filed under the name Musa acuminata (dwarf banana). RNAcentral's name for it is "long non-coding RNA (MACU_LNC009043)". Lineage: Eukaryota; Viridiplantae; Streptophyta; Magnoliopsida; Zingiberales; Musaceae. The record is from RNAcentral.
UCAUCAUUUGGCUGAAGUUGCAGCUCAUGUUGCAAUGACAUUAGUUCCUUCCUGCAAAAUUGAACUGUGGUGGUAAUAUUGCCAAAGGUAUUUGUAUUCCACUCCUUUAGUGCUGCUUUACAGGCUUUGAGCUUUUGACAUAAGAUGUAAGGGGGGGAUCCAUGCACAUUAACAUUCCAAGCAGAUCUGAUAACAUCAAG